Molecule: long non-coding RNA, 1222 nt
Filed under: Actinidia chinensis (golden kiwifruit)
Lineage: Eukaryota; Viridiplantae; Streptophyta; Magnoliopsida; Ericales; Actinidiaceae
Description: long non-coding RNA (ACHI_LNC004042)
Source: RNAcentral
AACAUUAAAAAUUGGGUAAGUUAUAGUUACCUCCCCUGAGAUUUAUGAAAAUCAUAGAGACUUCCCUUACUUUUUUUGAAAUUGCACUGCACUCUCUUCUGGUUCAGAUUUUUAUUUCAUAUUCCCCCUUCUGUUAGAAGACCGUCAAAGAGGUUAACAAAUCUUGUUGAACUUAGCAACUUAUUUUAUUUGGUUUCCAAUUUUACCCUUGAUACACUCCUAGCAAGACAAAAAUUAGGGAGCUUCUAAAUGCAACCCUAAAGGUCUCAGUACACCCUAAUUGGGGUAACACAUACAUUUCUAAAAUUUUGGAUUUUAAUUUGUACCAACACCAUCAUAUGACCUUAGGAAAAAAAAAAGCCUAACCAUAAAACCUUGCCCCAUGCAGCAUCUACCACCACCCUCGUCGACAUCCCCUUCAAACACCGCCUGUCUCUCUCUCCAUCACCAUCACCCGCUCUCCUUUUCCCUCCUCCUUCCACUACACCCCUCCCACCACACCAUACGAGGGCAACCCUUUCUAUCUGUAUCCUCGUUCCUACUCCCACACCGUCAAGUUCCACAUCUCACCAACGCUACCGCAACAUCACAAUCAUCAUCAUUGUUGAGGUAGAAAUCUGGCGCGAGCAACCAACAAUCAGAAUUGCUCAAGGUGGCAACCUCGAUCACCUACAUAAGGAAAUAAACGUUACUGGCCGGGGUGCUACCGCUCAAAACCCCUUCGACGUGGUGAUGAGAUCGUAUGAGAUAAAUCUAUUAAACAAAGCACAGUAGAGAAAUCAAGAAACAAAAGCUUAUGAAGUGCGAUUGUCGUUACCUUUUUCUAGAGAAUUAUGAGCAGGUUUUAUAAAUGGAGAUUUUAAAAACGUGUGAGGAGAUGGAGAUAAUGUCGCAACUAUAGGAGACUGUGAUGGAGAUGUAGUAAAUCACAUUCAUCUCGGUCUGGAAAUAUUGGCAUCAUAAACUACUGAGCAACAUGAAUUAGUGACUUGAAAGGUUGUGAUGAGAAUACAGCGACAUAAGACAGCUUGACAUGUUGAGUGACGAUCAUAAUAGACGUUGGCAAUGUGUCCUUCCUAGACUUUGGCGAUAUAGCUAUCUCACGAACAAUGUUGCGACAUGGUUGCCUCAGGUUGGGUUAUCUCUUCUUCUGGAGUUAAUUUGAAUAGCUGAAAAUUUAUCGCUCAUCAAUCAUAAUCAGUUGACACCUAUUACAAAUUGG